This 343-nucleotide unclassified non-coding RNA is filed under the name soil metagenome. Its description in RNAcentral is "partial contains 5.8S ribosomal RNA, internal transcribed spacer 2, and large subunit ribosomal RNA". The stretch from base 1 to 120 matches the Rfam family "5.8S ribosomal RNA", at positions 35 to 154 of the family's 154-position model. The record is from RNAcentral.
GAUGAAGAACGUAGCGAAAUGUGAUAAGUAAUGUGAAUUGCAGAAUUCAGUGAAUCAUCGAAUCUUUGAACGCACAUUGCGCCCGCCAGCAUUCUGGCGGGCAUGCCUGUUCGAGCGUCAUUUCAACCCUCGAGCCCCCCCGGGGGCCUCGGUGUUGGGGGACGGCACACCAGCCGCCCCCGAAAUGCAGUGGCGACCCCGCCGCAGCCUCCCCUGCGUAGUAGCACACACCUCGCACCGGAGCGCGGAGGCGGUCACGCCGUAAAACGCCCAACUUUCUUAGAGUUGACCUCGGAUCAGGCAGGAAUACCCGCUGAACUUAAGCAUAUCAAUAAGCGGAGGA